AGUCCCUUCCCCAAUGGUGCGUCCCAGCUUGUACUUUCCCAUCUGCUUUGUGGUGAAGAAACCCAUCACUCUCUCUCUCUGGAUCGGGAAAGGGGGGGAUUUCGUAACGAGUUUGACCGUUGGCUCGUGGUGUGCAGCUGAAGAACGUCUCCUCCUCCCUCUGAAGCGUAGAUAAGAAUAUUUAACUCUUUUCUUUCUUUUGUACGUGCGCCUUAGGUAGACACAGAUGGCUUUAUAUUCUAUUAAGAAAGCUAAGAAAAUAAAAAUAAAAUAAAUGGUCUUUUUUUUAUUAAUUUUUUGGGGUGGGGGUUACGUGUCCAUUUGAGCUUCAUAAAACUAACAUAUAUAUAAAGAUGGUUUCGGAUA
Tarenaya hassleriana is the source of this 366-nucleotide long non-coding RNA. RefSeq lists it as uncharacterized. The transcript has 2 exons. The record is from RefSeq and is a predicted model, not a curated record. Lineage: Eukaryota; Viridiplantae; Streptophyta; Magnoliopsida; Brassicales; Cleomaceae.